Molecule: signal recognition particle RNA, 97 nt
Filed under: Gammaproteobacteria bacterium
Lineage: Bacteria; Pseudomonadati; Pseudomonadota; Gammaproteobacteria
Description: signal recognition particle sRNA small type
Rfam family: Bacterial small signal recognition particle RNA
About the family: The signal recognition particle (SRP) is a universally conserved ribonucleoprotein involved in the co-translational targeting of proteins to membranes. Archaeal SRP consists of a 7S RNA and homologues of the eukaryotic SRP19 and SRP54 proteins. In most bacteria, the SRP consists of a 4.5S RNA and the Ffh protein (a homologue of the eukaryotic SRP54 protein).
Source: RNAcentral
CAUUGGUCCCCUCGCAACGAUAAAUUGUGAACCCCGUCAGGCCCGGAAGGGAGCAGCGGCAGCAAUGGAUUCGUGUGCCGGGGUGUGGCUGGUGCGG